RNAcentral lists this ribosomal RNA (544 nucleotides) under uncultured bacterium. RNAcentral describes it as "bacterial SSU rRNA". It matches the Rfam family "Bacterial small subunit ribosomal RNA", at positions 80 to 621 of the family's 1533-position model. The record is from RNAcentral.
UACUCCCGCCGGCGACCGGCGCACGUUUGAGUAACACGUAUGCAACCUGCCUGCCACAGCCGGAUAUCGGGAGAAAUUCCGUCUAAUACGGCAUAAUGCACCUAUGGGACAUCCUGUUGGUGCCAAAGGUUAAUUCCGGUGGCGGAUGGGCAUGCGUCGCAUUAGUUAGUUGGCGGUGUAACGGACCACCAAGACGACGAUGCGUAGGGGUUCUGAGAGGAAGGUCCCCCACACUGGUACUGAUACACGGACCAGACUCCUACGGGAGGCAGCAGUGAGGAAUAUUGGUCAAUGGGCGGGAGCCUGAACCAGCCAAGUCGCGUGAGGGAUGACGGCCCUAUGGGUUGUAAACCUCUUUUGCCGGGGAGCAAAGUGCCGCACGUGUGCGGUUUGGAGAGUACCCGGAGAAAAAGCAUCGGCUAACUCCGUGCCAGCAGCCGCGGUAAUACGGAGGAUGCGAGCGUUAUCCGGAUUUAUUGGGUUUAAAGGGUGCGUAGGCGGCCUGCCAAGUCACCGGUAAAAUUGCGGGGCUCAACCCCGUACA